Molecule: ribosomal RNA, 252 nt
Filed under: uncultured prokaryote
Description: partial 16S ribosomal RNA
Rfam family: Bacterial small subunit ribosomal RNA
Source: RNAcentral
UACAGAGGUCUCAAGCGUUGUUCGGAUUCAUUGGGCGUAAAGGGUGCGUAGGUGGUGGCGCAAGUCUGGUGUGAAAUCUCGGAGCUCAACUCCGAAAUUGCACCGGAUACUGCGUGACUCGAGGACUGUAGAGGAGAUCGGAAUUCACGGUGUAGCAGUGAAAUGCGUAGAUAUCGUGAGGAAGACCAGUUGCGAAGGCGGAUCUCUGGGCAGUUCCUGACACUGAGGCACGAAGGCCAGGGGAGCAAACGG